RNAcentral lists this ribosomal RNA (264 nucleotides) under uncultured bacterium. Its description in RNAcentral is "partial 16S ribosomal RNA". It matches the Rfam family "Bacterial small subunit ribosomal RNA", at positions 793 to 1055 of the family's 1533-position model. The record is from RNAcentral.
GUCCACGCCCUAAACGAUGGCAACUAGUUGUUGGGGAUUAACAUCCUUAGUAACGCAGCUAACGCGUGAAGUUGCCCGCCUGGGGAGUACGGUCGCAAGAUUAAAACUCAAAGGAAUUGACGGGGGCCCGCACAAGCGGUGGAUGAUGUGGUUUAAUUCGAUGCAACGCGAAAAACCUUACCUACCCUUGACAUGCCAGGAAGGCCGCAGAGAUGUGGUUGUGCCCGAAAGGGAACCUGGACACAGGUGCUGCAUGGCUGUCGU